This 233-nucleotide long non-coding RNA is filed under the name Physcomitrium patens. Its description in RNAcentral is "long non-coding RNA (PPAT_LNC009381)". The record is from RNAcentral. Lineage: Eukaryota; Viridiplantae; Streptophyta; Bryopsida; Funariales; Funariaceae.
AUUAAAAUUUGAAAUUAUUAUUUUAAAAGAAUCCAAAAUCUUUAUGUGGCAACUUAGGGUUGCUAAUGUUUUUUUUGCUAACAUUGAUCUUCAUUGUAGUAGCAAGAUAAUUUUGGUAUUAAAUUUUCAGCCAAAGAAUUAUUAGCUCAAAUAAUAGUUGUAUAAUUAAGUCGAAUUACUCAGCUCAUUUGGAAAUAUUCGACAUUAUAUAUGGUUGAUUUACCACAUCUUAU